Molecule: non-coding RNA, 30 nt
Filed under: Rattus norvegicus (Norway rat)
Lineage: Eukaryota; Metazoa; Chordata; Mammalia; Rodentia; Muridae
Source: RNAcentral
UGGAGUGCUAGGAUUACAGUUCGCACCUGA